CCUGUGGCUCAGACGGUAAAGCGUCUGCCUACAAUGCAGAAGACCCAGGUUCAAUCCCUGGGUCAGGA
This 68-nucleotide transfer RNA is filed under the name Bos taurus (domestic cattle). It matches the Rfam family "tRNA". From Rfam's summary of the family: Transfer RNA (tRNA) molecules are approximately 80 nucleotides in length. Their secondary structure includes four short double-helical elements and three loops (D, anti-codon, and T loops). Further hydrogen bonds mediate the characteristic L-shaped molecular structure. tRNAs have two regions of fundamental functional importance: the anti-codon, which is responsible for specific mRNA codon recognition, and the 3' end, to which the tRNAs corresponding amino acid is attached (by aminoacyl-tRNA synthetases). tRNAs cope with the degeneracy of the genetic code in two manners: having more than one tRNA (with a specific anti-codon) for a particular amino acid; and 'wobble' base-pairing, i.e. permitting non-standard base-pairing at the 3rd anti-codon position. Lineage: Eukaryota; Metazoa; Chordata; Mammalia; Artiodactyla; Bovidae. RNAcentral also lists the same sequence under 2 other names. The record is from Rfam by way of RNAcentral.